Molecule: ribosomal RNA, 465 nt
Filed under: Vreelandella stevensii
Lineage: Bacteria; Pseudomonadati; Pseudomonadota; Gammaproteobacteria; Oceanospirillales; Halomonadaceae
Description: partial 16S ribosomal RNA
Rfam family: Bacterial small subunit ribosomal RNA
Source: RNAcentral
CCUACGGGAGGCUGCAGUGGGGAAUAUUGGACAAUGGGGGGAACCCUGAUCCAGCCAUGCCGCGUGUGUGAAGAAGGCCCUCGGGUUGUAAAGCACUUUCAGUGAGGAAGAACGCCUGGUGGUUAAUACCCAUCAGGAAAGACAUCACUCACAGAAGAAGCACCGGCUAACUCCGUGCCAGCAGCCGCGGUAAUACGGAGGGUGCGAGCGUUAAUCGGAAUUACUGGGCGUAAAGCGCGCGUAGGUGGCUUGAUAAGCCGGUUGUGAAAGCCCCGGGCUCAACCUGGGAACGGCAUCCGGAACUGUCAAGCUAGAGUGCAGGAGAGGACAGUAGAAUUCCCGGUGUAGCGGUGAAAUGCGUAGAGAUCGGGAGGAAUACCAGUGGCGAAGGCGGCCUUCUGGACUGACACUGACACUGAGGUGCGAAAGCGUGGGUAGCAAACAGGAUUAGAUACCCCUGUAGUC